CUCAGACUUGGGCUCGAAGAUCUCCCUCCUGAGGGAAGAUUCUCUCUGAGGGUCUUUCAUUUGGGGGCUCGUCCGGGAUGGGAGAUCCUCUACCCAGAGACCACCAACCACCCACCGGGAGGUAAGCUGGCCAGCGUUUGUCUUGUCCUGUCUUGUCUUGCUUUGUGACUUGUUCUGUAAAUGCUUAGUUUCUUGGCUUGGGUCUAGACCGUUUGUAUUUGGGCGGGCCAGAGAAGGAGCUGACGAGCUCGGACUUCUCCCCCACAGCCCUGGAAGACGUUCCAAGGGUGUUUGGAGCCCGGUUUUCGGGGCUCAGCCCGUAUCAGAAGGAUACGUGGUUUUGGGUUAGAGGAGAAAGGAGAGAGCCGGAUCCACUGAACUUUUGGUUUCAGUUUGACACCGAAGCCGUGCGGCGAGUCUGUCUGUUGCUUGUUUGACUGUUAGAAUUGUCUUCUUUGUGUCCUAAUUUUCUUUGAACAUCUGUGGAAAUUGGUUAUAGGAUGCUUUGUCUUGGUCUUGUUUAUCUGGUUUGGUUUUUUUUUUUUUCUUUUUUUUUUUGGUAUUGUCUAGUAUCUUUUUGGCUUUUGUUUCGUUUUUGGACUUUGGACAAAUGACUAUGUUUGAAAUCUUGGACAGAUGACUGUGUUUAAAAUUAUGAAACUGUUUGCUUUGUUCGCCGAAGAGUUUUACUUGGUCCCCUUAAUGCUUAAUAAGAAACUUAAUUUUGUGAACCCCGCUCUAGUGGCGCUGUGUUGGUUGAUAGCCAAGGUUAAUUUUUAAAACAUAGUGUUUUAAACAAGAACAAGAAAGGAAUUACUGACAUUUCCUCACAGAAGGAGAGCACUCAUUAAGAGAAGUUCUUUAAAGAAGCCUGCCUUAUCUGCUGGCCUUAUUCCAAGGGAGGAGUCAGUCUCCGGCAUUAGAUUACUUUUCUCGUUGGUCAUCAUUAACAUGGAGAGUGCCUUUGAUCCUAUUCCACAGCAGCCAGUUCCUGCCCCUGUGGUCAAAAUACGCCCCAGGUGAACUGGUUACGAUUCUUUUGUCAGCCACCUGGCAUCUAGCACCCAGGUUCUAACCAUCUCUCUAUCCUAGUAGGGACAUCCUCCACUCUCUCUUCUGCUAUGUCUGCCAAGAUGAUGGGGAGACCCUGCCAAAUGGCACCAUCCCUAAGCAUACCCCAGUCCAGUACCUACUUCCCGAGGUCAAGCCCCAGGAUUCAGACAAGAUCUGCUGCCUCUCAAAAGGCCAGAAAGAAUGUUCCAGACAUGGAUAGAAGGCCCUCACUUCUGCCUGUUGGAUUCAUUACGCCUAAAGGUAGGGAGUGCUCCAGGUCUGCUGCCAGGCUCCAAGGGUGGGUCUCUGAGGGGCUAUAAAGUGCCCCACCAAUUUGGCUAAAGUAAAAAAAAAAGAUAUAAAGAAAAAAAUUACAGAAACUUGAAGGAUUCAGCUAAGUCAUUGAGAGAGUUGUUGUAAGUUGCAGAGAAAAUAAGGUUGAUAUAUGGUUCAGGGUCAGUGCACAAAAUUGGACAGCAACUAAUAGCUGUAGAAGAAGAUACAGACAGAGAGACUGAGGAAGAGAAAGAGGAAAGAAAGUAAAAAGAACAGGAAGCUAGAGAAAAAAAAAGAGACAAGAGAAGAACAUAUUCCGGCCACAGUAGUUAGAGAACCUAAGAAGAUGGUACCUGGCUAAAGAUCAGUGUGCCUAAUACGAAAAAAAAGGGACAGUGGGUCAGAGAAAGGUCAAGAAAGAACAAGAGGGACAACUGGAGAGCUUCUUGGUCCUAGAGUGCUGGCUAUAUACAGAGAUAGAAGGGAAGUGUGGAUACAGGGACCCAAUGCGCCGUGCUCCUAUGCCCCCCCCCCAGUGGGCCAAUAACCGAAGACCUUGAGUACAAGGGGCUACUGACAACGAACAAUACUUAUGGACUGCCCGAAGAACAGUGGACCUUGGUGUGGGCCGGUUAACCCACCCACUAGCUCAUGGUCAUCCCUGACUGCCCCUAUCCCUUGCUCAUGAAAAAUUUGCUCUCCAAAAUGGCUUGCGUGGGCUAAAAUGGCUGGGUGAGCCCAUGUGUAUACAUAUCUACAGACUGUAUAUGUGGAGCUUAAGACCUGUCUCAGUGCACCAGUACCUGAUAAUGAGAGAUGUGUUUGUGGCUUAGUGCCGUUCUGCCUGGAACACAUCAUUCCUGCCAGCCGGACUCUGACAAUUAUCACCCAAUCCAGGACUUAAACUGUGAUAGAGUGGCUGAUGUUUUGCCUUUGAAUAGAACGUCCCAAAAGAUGGGACCACUGGUCAGCUGCCAUGGACUAGAUUUUCCACCGGUUGGGGACAAUCUGGUCACCUUGCUGCCCAAUCCUGACCUGGAGCCACCACAACACGAGUGUCAAGCCCUGGCAGAAGCCCAUGGGUGGUCUGCGACUGGCUGAUUGACCCCUGCUGAAAGCCGAGGACCUUGUCCACAGACGGGAACAGUUCUCCUCAUGAAUGAAGGUCACAGAUAAGUGGGUGCUGCCAUGGUGGACAACACGAUGUCAUCUGGGAUGGCUGAACUUCUAUCCCCCCAGCACACAUCAGUGUGACAGAUGCCUUUGCCAUCUCUUGGAUGCCCUGGUGAAGCCAACAACUGUGAGUACUAUUCAUUGCUGAGAAUAUCAGGAAAGAAGAGAUUCAGUGGCAGAUAAAGUGGCUCGAAAAAUGGCUAUGCAGGAGCCUAUCCUGGUUACAGGCCUACAAGAUACAGCCACUGAGAACUAGGAUCGGACUAAGGGAUGGCCUCACUUAGAAAAGGCCCAAAUUGCUUAAAAGAAAAAGGACAAUGGCACACUUGAGGGAAAGCUAUACUCCCCAGAGAACAAAGAAAAGACUCAUUUUGCCAAAUACAGAAAUGGACUCAUUUAAGAGAUAAAAAGUUUGUCCAAAUAGCUAAGAUAUAUAUAAUAGACUUUAAGAUUUUAGCCAGAGAGAAAAAAAAAAUAUAUAUAUAUGUAUGGUAUGUCAGUAGUAAAUGCUUAACAAGCAAACAGGGCAAAGAGACCUAGAGAGUUUAAUAAAAAGUCAAAGUAAAUUUCACUGACAUAAAACCAGAAAAAUAGUGCUUGUAGAUACUUUUUCAGGAAUAGAUAGAAGCUUUCCUCACCAAAUGAGAGACGGCCUCUACAAUCAUCAAGCAGACAACGGCCCUACUUUUGUUGCCAAGGUAAGCCAGGGUGUGGCCAAGUAUUUAGAGGUCGAUUAAAAAUUACAUUAUAUUUACAGACCUCAAAGUUCAAGACAGGUAAAAUAAAUAAAUAAAACUCUAAAAGAGACCCUGACCAAAUUAAAUUGACCAUGGAGACUGGCCCAGACUGAGUGACACUCCUUCCCACUUGCUCUCCUCAGAGCAAAAAAAAAAUACCCCUUCCAGAUUCAGCGUUACCCCCUUUGAGAUCUUAUAUGGGGCCUCAGCUCCCCUGACUGUGUUAGAUGAUGUUACUGAACCAGCAUGCCAUAGUAAUAAUGAUUUUAUAUGCCAGGCUAAAAGACCUACAGGUGAUACAGAAAGAAAUCUGCUCACAGCUGACAGCAGCCUAUGCCCGGGGACCCCUGAGACAUCUCAUCAGUUCCAGGUCGGAGACUGUAGCUACAUACAAUGACACGGAGCCCAGACACUCGAUAAAAAGGAUCGUACCUGGUGCUGCUGACCACCCUGACAGCCGUCAAUUCUCAGCCCUCACCAGCUGCAUACUAGCUGUUGGGGCUGAGAGGUGAGAGCUAGAGGGACACUCAGAUCUUCAAAAGGCUCCCUAGACUUACACAUCAGAUAAGUGACUGAGAGACUGUUAUAAUGCUCACUUAAAGAGUGUGCUUUAAAAACAAGAAUUUCAUGUUUGCCCUGGGUUCCAUCGAGAAAAAUAUAGAGAUAGGCUUAAUUUCUAUUACAAAUGAUAUAACAUUACAUAUGUUAAUACAUCUUGAUAUCAGAAUUCUAAGAUUAGAAUUACUUAGUAGAAGAAGAGGGGAAUGAAGGACCCCAGCCUAAUAGCAGUAACAGAAAGACCCCAGCCUAGCAGUAGUAAUGCCAUUUUACAAGGCUAUAUUUAGGAAGACUGGUUCAGGGAAAGGUCAGAACACCGAGUACACAGCGGCUGCCAUGCAGGAUAUGUGUGGAGAGCCUAGCGACAGGAUGAUUGUGGUUGAGCGCCUGACAAUGAGAAAGAAAUGUAGAAAGCCCCGGGAGAGGUCCCACACCCUGGUGGGAGGCCGAGUCAGCCAUUAUGUUCCAAGAACACACUAUAGAGAACUUGCCCCCGGGCUGACCCCUGUAACCAUGCAUCUGCUUCUGUAUGCUUGCUUCUGCUUCCCAGAACCCUAUAAAAAGCCCAUCCUUGGUUCUGCUAGGCGCGUCAGUCUUCUGAAUUGACUGAGACGCCCACAGAUAUCUGUGUAUCUUGGUCAAUAAAAAUCCUCUUGCUGAUUGCAGCCUGUGGACUCAGACUUGGGCUCGAAGAUCUCCCUCCUGAGGGAAGAUUCUCUCUGAGGGUCUUUCAUUUGGGGGCUCGUCCGGGAUGGGAGAUCCUCUACCCAGAGACCACCGACCACCCACCGGGAGGUAAGCUGGCCAGCGUUUGUCUUGUCCUGUCUUGUCUUGCUUUGUGACUUGUUCUGUAAAUGCUUAGUUUCUUGGCUUGGGUCUAGACCGUUUGUAUUUGGGCGGGCCAGAGAAGGAGCUGACGAGCUCGGACUUCUCCCCCACAGCCCUGGAAGACGUUCCAAGGGUGUUUGGAGCCCGGUUUUCGGGGCUCAGCCCGUAUCAGAAGGAUACGUGGUUUUGGGUUAGAGGAGAAAGGAGAGAGCCGGAUCCACUGAACUUUUGGUUUCAGUUUGACACCGAAGCCGUGCGGCGAGUCUGUCUGUUGCUUGUUUGACUGUUAGAAUUGUCUUCUUUGUGUCCUAAUUUUCUUUGAACAUCUGUGGAAAUUGGUUAUAGGAUGCUUUGUCUUGGUCUUGUUUAUCUGGUUUGGUAUUUUUUUUCUUUUUUUUUUUGGUAUUGUCUAGUAUCUUUUUGGCUUUUGUUUCGUUUUUGGACUUUGGACAAAUGACUAUGUUUGAAAUCUUGGACUGAUGACUGUGUUUAAAAUUAUGAAACUGUUUGCUUUGUUCGCCGAAGAGUUUUACUUGGUCCCCUUAAUGCUUAAUAAGAAACUUAAUUUUGUGAACCCCGCUCUAGUGGCGCUGUGUUGGUUGAUAGCCAAGGUUAAUUUUUAAAACAUAGUGUUUUAAACAAGAACAAGAAAGGAAUUACUGACAUUUCCUCACAGAAGGAGAGCACUCAUUAAGAGAAGUUCUUUAAAGAAGCCUGCCUUAUCUGCUGGCCUUAUUCCAAGGGAGGAGUCAGUCUCCGGCAUUAGAUUACUUUUCUCGUUGGUCAUCAUUAACAUGGAGAGUGCCUUUGAUCCUAUUCCACAGCAGCCAGUUCCUGCCCCUGUGGUCAAAAUACGCCCCAGGUGAACUGGUUACGAUUCUUUUGUCAGCCACCUGGCAUCUAGCACCCAGGUUCUAACCAUCUCUCUAUCCUAGUAGGGACAUCCUCCACUCUCUCUUCUGCUAUGUCUGCCAAGAUGAUGGGGAGCCCCUGCCAAAUGGCGCCAUCCCUAAGCAUACCCCAGUCCAGUACCUACUUCCCGAGGUCAAGCCCCAGGACUCAGACAAGAUCUGCUGCCUCUCAAAAGAAAGAACGUUCCAGACAUGGAUAGAAGGCCCUCACUUCUGCCUGUUGGAUUCAUUACGCCUAAAGGUAGGGAGUGCUCCAGGUCUGCUGCCAGGCUCCAAGGGUGGGUCUCUGAGGGGCUAUAAAGUGCCCCACCAAUUUGGCUAAAGUAAAAAAAAAAGAUAUAAAGAAAAAGUUACAGAAACUUGAAGGAUUCAGCUAAGUCACUGAGAGAGUUGUUGUAAGUUGCAGAGAAAAUAAGGUUGAUAUAUGGUUCAGGGUCAGUGCACAAAAUUGGACAGCAACUUAUAGCUGUAGAAGAAGAUACAGACAGAGAGACUGAGGAAGAGAAAGAGGAAAGAAAGUAAAAAGAACAGGAAGCUAGAGAAAAAAAAAGAGACAAGAGAAGAACAUAUUCCGGCCACAGUAGUUAGAGAACCUAAGAAGAUAGUACCUGGUUAAAGAUCAGUGUGCCUAAUACGAAAAAAAAGGGACAGUGGGUCAGAGAAAGGUCAAGAAAGAACAAGAGGGACCACUGGAGAGCUUCUUGGUCCUAGAGUGCUGGCUAUAUACAGAGAUAGAAGGGAAGUGUGGAUACAGGGACCCAAUGCGCCGUGCUCCUAUGCCCCCCCCCCAGUGGGCCAAUAACCAAAGAACUUGAGUACAAGGGGCUACUGACAACGAACAAUACUUAUGGACUGCCCGAAGAACAGUGGACCUUGGUGUGGGCCGGUUAACCCACCCACUAGCUCAUGGUCAUCCCUGACUGCCCCUAUCCCUUGCUCAUGAAAAAUUUGCUCUCCAAAAUGGCUUGCGUGGGCUAAAAUGGCUGGGUGAGCCCAUGUGUAUACAUAUCUACAGACUGUAUAUGUGGAGCUUAAGACCUGUCUCAGUGCACCAGUACCUGAUAAUGAGAGAUGUGUUUGUGGCUUAGUGCCGUUCUGCCUGGAACACAUCAUUCCUGCCAGCCGGACUCUGACAAUUAUCACCCAAUCCAGGACUUAAACUGUGAUAGAGUGGCUGAUGUUUUGCCUUUGAAUAGAACGUCCCAAAAGAUGGGACCACUGGUCAGCUGCUAUGGACUAGAUUCUCCACCGGUUGGGGACAAUCUGGUCACCUUGCUGCCCAAUCCUGACCUGGAGCCACCACAACACGAGUGUCAAGCCCUGGCAGAAGCCCAUGGGUGGUCUGCGACUGGCUGAUUGACCCCUGCUGAAAGCCGAGGACCUUGUCCACAGACGGGAACAGUUCUCCUCAUUAAUGAAGGUGGUCACAGAUAAGUGGGUGCUGCCAUGGUAGACAACACGAUGUCAUCUGGGAAGGCUGAACUUCUAUCCCCCCAGCACACAUCAGUGUGACAGAUGCCUUUGCCAUCUCUUGGAUGCCCUGGUGAAGCCAACAACUGUGAGUACUAUUCAUUGCUGAGAAUAUCAGGAAAGAAGAGAUUCAGUGGCAGAUAAAGUGGCUCGAAAAAUGGCUAUGCAGGAGCCUAUCCUGGUUACAGGCCUACAAGAUACAGCCACUGAGAACUAGGAUCGGACUAAGGGAUGGCCUCACUUAGAAAAGGCCCAAAUUGCUUAAAAGAAAAAGGACAAUGGCACACUUGAGGGAAAGCUAUACUCCCCAGAGAACAAAGAAAAGACUCAUUUUGCCAAAUACAGAAAUGGACUCAUUUAAGAGAUAAAAAGUUUGUCCAAAUAGCUAAGAUAUAUAUAAUAGACUUUAAGAUUUUAGCCAGAGAGAAAAAAAAAUAUAUAUAUAUAUGUAUGGUAUGUCAGUAGUAAAUGCUUAACAAGCAAACAGGGCAAAGAGACCUAGAGAGUUUAAUAAAAAGUCAAAGUAAAUUUCACUGACAUAAAACCAGAAAAAUAGUGCUUGUAGAUACUUUUUCAGGAAUAGAUAGAAGCUUUCCUCACCAAAUGAGAGACGGCCUCUACAAUCAUCAAGCAGACAACGGCCCUACUUUUGUUGCCAAGGUAAGCCAGGGUGUGGCCAAGUAUUUAGAGGUCGAUUAAAAAUUACAUUAUAUUUACAGACCUCAAAGUUCAAGACAGGUAAAAUAAAUAAAUAAAACUCUAAAAGAGACCCUGACCAAAUUAAAUUGACCAUGGAGACUGGCCCAGACUGAGUGACACUCCUUCCCACUUGCUCUCCUCAGAGCAAAAAAAAAAUACCCCUUCCAGAUUCAGCGUUACCCCCUUUGAGAUCUUAUAUGGGGCCUCAGCUCCCCUGACUGUGUUAGAUGAUGUUACUGAACCAGCAUGCCAUAGUAAUAAUGAUUUUAUAUGCCAGGCUAAAAGACCUACAGGUGAUACAGAAAGAAAUCUGCUCACAGCUGACAGCAGCCUAUGCCCGGGGACCCCUGAGAUAUCUCAUCAGUUCCAGGUCGGAGACUGUAGCUACAUAUAAUGACACGGAGCCCAGACACUCAAUAAAAAGGAUCGUACCUGGUGCUGCUGACCACCCUGACAGCCGUCAAUUCUCAGCCCUCACCAGCUGCAUACUAGCUGUUGGGGCUGAGAGGUGAGAGCUAGAGGGACACUCAGAUCUUCAAAAGGCUCCCUAGACUUACACAUCAGAUAAGUGACUGAGAGACUGUUAUAAUGCUCACUUAAAGAGUGUGCUUUAAAAACAAGAAUUUCAUGUUUGCCCUGGGUUCCAUCGAGAAAAAUAUAGAGAUAGGCUUAAUUUCUAUUACAAAUGAUAUAACAUUACAUAUGUUAAUACAUCUUGAUAUCAGAAUUCUAAGAUUAGAAUUACUUAGUAGAAGAAGAGGGGAAUGAAGGACCCCAGCCUAAUAGCAGUAACAGAAAGACCCCAGCCUAGCAGUAGUAAUGCCAUUUUACAAGGCUAUAUUUAGGAAGACUGGUUCAGGGAAAGGUCAGAACACCGAGUACACAGCGGCUGCCAUGCAGGAUAUGUGUGGAGAGCCUAGCGACAGGAUGAUUGUGGUUGAGCGCCUGACAAUGAGAAAGAAAUGUAGAAAGCCCCGGGAGAGGUCCCACACCCUGGUGGGAGGCCGAGUCAGCCAUUAUGUUCCAAGAACACACUAUAGAGAACUUGCCCCCGGGCUGACCCCUGUAACCAUGCAUCUGCUUCUGUAUGCUUGCUUCUGCUUCCCAGAACCCUAUAAAAAGCCCAUCCUUGGUUCUGCUAGGCGCGUCAGUCUUCUGAAUUGACUGAGACGCCCACAGAUAUCUGUGUAUCUUGGUCAAUAAAAAUCCUCUUGCUGAUUGCAGCCUGUGGACUCAGACUUGGGCUCGAAGAUCUCCCUCCUGAGGGAAGAUUCUCUCUGAGGGUCUUUCAUUUGGGGGCUCGUCCGGGAUGGGAGAUCCUCUACCCAGAGACCACCGACCACCCACCGGGAGGUAAGCUGGCCAGCGUUUGUCUUGUCCUGUCUUGUCUUGCUUUGUGACUUGUUCUGUAAAUGCUUAGUUUCUUGGCUUGGGUCUAGACCGUUUGUAUUUGGGCGGGCCAGAGAAGGAGCUGACGAGCUCGGACUUCUCCCCCACAGCCCUGGAAGACGUUCCAAGGGUGUUUGGAGCCCGGUUUUCGGGGCUCAGCCCGUAUCAGAAGGAUACGUGGUUUUGGGUUAGAGGAGAAAGGAGAGAGCCGGAUCCACUGAACUUUUGGUUUCAGUUUGACACCGAAGCCGUGCGGCGAGUCUGUCUGUUGCUUGUUUGACUGUUAGAAUUGUCUUCUUUGUGUCCUAAUUUUCUUUGAACAUCUGUGGAAAUUGGUUAUAGGAUGCUUUGUCUUGGUCUUGUUUAUCUGGUUUGGUUUUUUUUUUUUUUCUUUUUUUUUUUUUGGUACUGUCUAGUAUCUUUUUGGCUUUUGUUUCGUUUUUGGACUUUGGACAAAUGACUAUGUUUGAAAUCUUGGACUGAUGACUGUGUUUAAAAUUAUGAAACUGUUUGCUUUGUUCGCCGAAGAGUUUUACUUGGUCCCCUUAAUGCUUAAUAAGAAACUUAAUUUUGUGAACCCCGCUCUAGUGGCGCUGUGUUGGUUGAUAGCCAAGGUUAAUUUUUAAAACAUAGUGUUUUAAACAAGAACAAGAAAGGAAUUACUGACAUUUCCUCACAGAAGGAGAGCACUCAUUAAGAGAAGUUCUUUAAAGAAGCCUGCCUUAUCUGCUGGCCUUAUUCCAAGGGAGGAGUCAGUCUCCGGCAUUAGAUUACUUUUCUCGUUGGUCAUCAUUAACAUGGAGAGUGCCUUUGAUCCUAUUCCACAGCAGCCAGUUCCUGCCCCUGUGGUCAAAAUACGCCCCAGGUGAACUGGUUACGAUUCUUUUGUCAGCCACCUGGCAUCUAGCACCCAGGUUCUAACCAUCUCUCUAUCCUAGUAGGGACAUCCUCCACUCUCUCUUCUGCUAUGUCUGCCAAGAUGAUGGGGAGACCCUGCCAAAUGGCACCAUCCCUAAGCAUACCCCAGUCCAGUACCUACUUCCCGAGGUCAAGCCCCAGGAUUCAGACAAGAUCUGCUGCCUCUCAAAAGGCCAGAAAGAAUGUUCCAGACAUGGAUAGAAGGCCCUCACUUCUGCCUGUUGGAUUCAUUACGCCUAAAGGUAGGGAGUGCUCCAGGUCUGCUGCCAGGCUCCAAGGGUGGGUCUCUGAGGGGCUAUAAAGUGCCCCACCAAUUUGGCUAAAGUAAAAAAAAAAAGAUAUAAAGAAAAAAUUACAGAAACUUGAAGGAUUCAGCUAAGUCAUUGAGAGAGUUGUUGUAAGUUGCAGAGAAAAUAAGGUUGAUAUAUGGUUCAGGGUCAGUGCACAAAAUUGGACAGCAACUAAUAGCUGUAGAAGAAGAUACAGACAGAGAGACUGAGGAAGAGAAAGAGGAAAGAAAGUAAAAAGAACAGGAAGCUAGAGAAAAAAAAAGAGACAAGAGAAGAACAUAUUCCGGCCACAGUAGUUAGAGAACCUAAGAAGAUGGUACCUGGCUAAAGAUCAGUGUGCCUAAUACGAAAAAAAAGGGAUAGUGGGUCAGAGAAAGGUCAAGAAAGAACAAGAGGGACCACUGGAGAGCUUCUUGGUCCUAGAGUGCUGGCUAUAUACAGAGAUAGAAGGGAAGUGUGGAUACAGGGACCCAAUGCGCCGUGCUCCUAUGCCCCCCCCCCAGUGGGCCAAUAACCGAAGACCUUGAGUACAAGGGGCUACUGACAACGAACAAUACUUAUGGACUGCCCGAAGAACAGUGGACCUUGGUGUGGGCCGGUUAACCCACCCACUAGCUCAUGGUCAUCCCUGACUGCCCCUAUCCCUUGCUCAUGAAAAAUUUGCUCUCCAAAAUGGCUUGCGUGGGCUAAAAUGGCUGGGUGAGCCCAUGUGUAUACAUAUCUACAGACUGUAUAUGUGGAGCUUAAGACCUGUCUCAGUGCACCAGUACCUGAUGCUGAGAGAUGUGUUUGUGGCUUAGUGCCGUUCUGCCUGGAACACAUCAUUCCUGCCAGCCGGACUCUGACAAUUAUCACCCAAUCCAGGACUUAAACUGUGAUAGAGUGGCUGAUGUUUUGCCUUUGAAUAGAACGUCCCAAAAGAUGGGACCACUGGUCAGCUGCCAUGGACUAGAUUUUCCACCAGUUGGGGACAAUCUGGUCACCUUGCUGCCCAAUCCUGACCUGGAGCCACCACAACACGAGUGUCAAGCCCUGGCAGAAGCCCAUGGGUGGUCUGCGACUGGCUGAUUGACCCCUGCUGAAAGCCGAGGACCUUGUCCACAGACGGGAACAGUUCUCCUCAUGAAUGAAGGUCACAGAUAAGUGGGUGCUGCCAUGGUAGACAACACGAUGUCAUCUGGGAUGGCUGAACUUCUAUCCCCCCAGCACACAUCAGUGUGACAGAUGCCUUUGCCAUCUCUUGGAUGCCCUGGUGAAGCCAACAACUGUGAGUACUAUUCAUUGCUGAGAAUAUCAGGAAAGAAGAGAUUCAGUGGCAGAUAAAGUGGCUCGAAAAAUGGCUAUGCAGGAGCCUAUCCUGGUUACAGGCCUACAAGAUACAGCCACUGAGAACUAGGAUCGGACUAAGGGAUGGCCUCACUUAGAAAAGGCCCAAAUUGCUUAAAAGAAAAAGGACAAUGGCACACUUGAGGGAAAGCUAUACUCCCCAGAGAACAAAGAAAAGACUCAUUUUGCCAAAUACAGAAAUGGACUCAUUUAAGAGAUAAAAAGAUUGUCCAAAUAGCUAAGAUAUAUAUAAUAGACUUUAAGAUUUUAGCCAGAGAGAAAAAAAAAUAUAUAUAUAUGUAUGGUAUGUCAGUAGUAAAUGCUUAACAAGCAAACAGGGCAAAGAGACCUAGAGAGUUUAAUAAAAAGUCAAAGUAAAUUUCACUGACAUAAAACCAGAAAAAUAGUGCUUGUAGAUACUUUUUCAGGAAUAGAUAGAAGCUUUCCUCACCAAAUGAGAGACGGCCUCUACAAUCAUCAAGCAGACAACGGCCCUACUUUUGUUGCCAAGGUAAGCCAGGGUGUGGCCAAGUAUUUAGAGGUCGAUUAAAAAUUACAUUAUAUUUACAGACCUCAAAGUUCAAGACAGGUAAAAUAAAUAAAUAAAACUCUAAAAGAGACCCUGACCAAAUUAAAUUGACCAUGGAGACUGGCCCAGACUGAGUGACACUCCUUCCCACUUGCUCUCCUCAGAGCAAAAAAAAAUACCCCUUCCAGAUUCAGCGUUACCCCCUUUGAGAUCUUAUAUGGGGCCUCAGCUCCCCUGACUGUGUUAGAUGAUGUUACUGAACCAGCAUGCCAUAGUAAUAAUGAUUUUAUAUGCCAGGCUAAAAGACCUACAGGUGAUACAGAAAGAAAUCUGCUCACAGCUGACAGCAGCCUAUGCCCGGGGACCCCUGAGACAUCUCAUCAGUUCCAGGUCGGAGACUGUAGCUACAUAUAAUGACACGGAGCCCAGACACUCGAUAAAAAGGAUCGUACCUGGUGCUGCUGACCACCCUGACAGCCGUCAAUUCUCAGCCCUCACCAGCUGCAUACUAGCUGUUGGGGCUGAGAGGUGAGAGCUAGAGGGACACUCAGAUCUUCAAAAGGCUCCCUAGACUUACACAUCAGAUAAGUGACUGAGAGACUGUUAUAAUGCUCACUUAAAGAGUGUGCUUCAAAAACAAGAAUUUCAUGUUUGCCCUGGGUUCCAUCGAGAAAAAUAUAGAGAUAGGCUUAAUUUCUAUUACAAAUGAUAUAACAUUACAUAUGUUAAUACAUCUUGAUAUCAGAAUUCUAAGAUUAGAAUUACUUAGUAGAAGAAGAGGGGAAUGAAGGACCCCAGCCUAAUAGCAGUAACAGAAAGACCCCAGCCUAGCAGUAGUAAUGCCAUUUUACAAGGCUAUAUUUAGGAAGACUGGUUCAGGGAAAGGUCAGAACACCGAGUACACAGCGGCUGCCAUGCAGGAUAUGUGUGGAGAGCCUAGCGACAGGAUGAUUGUGGUUGAGCGCCUGACAAUGAGAAAGAAAUGUAGAAAGCCCCGGGAGAGGUCCCACACCCUGGUGGGAGGCCGAGUCAGCCAUUAUGUUCCAAGAACACACUAUAGAGAACUUCCCCCCGGGCUGACCCCUGUAACCAUGCAUCUGCUUCUGUAUGCUUGCUUCUGCUUCCCAGAACCCUAUAAAAAGCCCAUCCUUGGUUCUGCUAGGCGCGUCAGUCUUCUGAAUUGACUGAGACGCCCACAGAUAUCUGUGUAUCUUGGUCAAUAAAAAUCCUCUUGCUGAUUGCAGCCUGUGGACUCAGACUUGGGCUCGAAGAUCUCCCUCCUGAGGGAAGAUUCUCUCUGAGGGUCUUUCAUUUGGGGGCUCGUCCGGGAUGGGAGAUCCUCUACCCAGAGACCACCGACCACCCACCGGGAGUAGGGACAUCCUCCACUCUCUCUACUGCUAUGUCUGCCAAGAUGAUGGGGAGCCCCUGCCAAAUGGCGCCAUCCCUAAGCAUACCCCAGUCCAGUACCUACUUCCCGAGGUCAAGCCCCAGGACUCAGACAAGAUCUGCUGCCUCUCAAAAGGCCAGAAAGAAUGUUCCAGACAUGGAUAGAAGGCCCUCACUUCUGCCUGUUGGAUUCAUUACGCCUAAAGGUAGGGAGUGCUCCAGGUCUGCUGCCAGGCUCCAAGGGUGGGUCUCUGAGGGACUAUAAAGUGCCCCACCAAUUUGGCUAAAGUAAAAAAAAAAGAUAUAAAGAAAAAGUUACAGAAACUUGAAAGAUUCAGCUAAGUCACUGAGAGAGUUGUUGUAAGUUGCAGAGAAAAUAAGGUUGAUAUAUGGUUCAGGGUCAGUGCACAAAAUUGGACAGCAACUAAUAGCUGUAGAAGAAGAUACAGACAGAGAGACUGAGGAAGAGAAAGAGGAAAGAAAGUAAAAAGAACAGGAAGCUAGAGAAAAAAAAAGAGACAAGAGAAGAACAUAUUCCGGCCACAGUAGUUAGAGAACCUAAGAAGAUGGUACCUGGCUAAAGAUCAGUGUGCCUAAUACGAAAAAAAAGGGAUAGUGGGUCAGAGAAAGGUCAAGAAAGAACAAGAGGGACCACUGGAGAGCUUCUUGGUCCUAGAGUGCUGGCUAUAUACAGAGAUAGAAGGGAAGUGUGGAUACAGGGACCCAAUGCGCCGUGCUCCUAUGCCCCCCCCCAGUGGGCCAAUAACCAAAGAACUUGAGUACAAGGGGCUACUGACAACGAACAAUACUUAUGGACUGCCCGAAGAACAGUGGACCUUGGUGUGGGCCGGUUAACCCACCCACUAGCUCAUGGUCAUCCCUGACUGCCCCUAUCCCUUGCUCAUGAAAAAUUUGCUCUCCAAAAUGGCUUGCGUGGGCUAAAAUGGCUGGGUGAGCCCAUGUGUAUACAUAUCUACAGACUGUAUAUGUGGAGCUUAAGACCUGUCUCAGUGCACCAGUACCUGAUGCUGAGAGAUGUGUUUGUGGCUUAGUGCCGUUCUGCCUGGAACAUAUCAUUCCUGCCAGCCGGACUCUGACAAUUAUCACCCAAUCCAGGACUUAAACUGUGAUAGAGUGGCUGAUGUUUUGCCUUUGAAUAGAACGUCCCAAAAGAUGGGACCACUGGUCAGCUGCCAUGGACUAGAUUCUCCACCUGUUGGGGACAAUCUGGUCACCUUGCUGCCCAAUCCUGACCUGGAGCCACCACAACACGAGUGUCAAGCCCUGGCAGAAGCCCAUGGGUGGUCUGCGACUGGCUGAUUGACCCCUGCUGAAAGCCGAGGACCUUGUCCACAGACGGGAACAGUUCUCCUCAUGAAUGAAGGUCACAGAUAAGUGGGUGCUGCCAUGGUAGACAACACGAUGUCAUCUGGGAUGGCUGAACUUCUAUCCCCCCAGCACACAUCAGUGUGACAGAUGCCUUUGCCAUCUCUUGGAUGCCCUGGUGAAGCCAACAACUGUGAGUACUAUUCAUUGCUGAGAAUAUCAGGAAAGAAGAGAUUCAGUGGCAGAUAAAGUGGCUCGAAAAAUGGCUAUGCAGGAGCCUAUCCUGGUUACAGGCCUACAAGAUACAGCCACUGAGAACUAGGAUCGGACUAAGGGAUGGCCUCACUUAGAAAAGGCCCAAAUUGCUUAAAAGAAAAAGGACAAUGGCACACUUGAGGGAAAGCUAUACUCCCCAGAGAACAAAGAAAAGACUCAUUUUGCCAAAUACAGAAAUGGACUCAUUUAAGAGAUAAAAAGUUUGUCCAAAUAGCUAAGAUAUAUAUAAUAGACUUUAAGAUUUUAGCCAGAGAGAAAAAAAUAUAUAUAUAUAUAUAUGUAUGGUAUGUCAGUAGUAAAUGCUUAACAAGCAAACAGGGCAAAGAGACCUAGAGAGUUUAAUAAAAAGUCAAAGUAAAUUUCACUGACAUAAAACCAGAAAAAUAGUGCUUGUAGAUACUUUUUCAGGAAUAGAUAGAAGCUUUCCUCACCAAAUGAGAGACGGCCUCUACAAUCAUCAAGCAGACAACGGCCCUACUUUUGUUGCCAAGGCUAAAAGACCUACAGGUGAUACAGAAAGAAAUCUGCUCACAGCUGACAGCAGCCUAUGCCCGGGGACCCCUGAGACAUCUCAUCAGUUCCAGGUCGGAGACUGUAGCUACAUACAAUGACACGGAGCCCAGACACUCGAUAAAAAGGAUCGUACCUGGUGCUGCUGACCACCCUGACAGCCGUCAAUUCUCAGCCCUCACCAGCUGCAUACUAGCUGUUGGGGCUGAGAGGUGAGAGCUAGAGGGACACUCAGAUCUUCAAAAGGCUCCCUAGACUUACACAUCAGAUAAGUGACUGAGAGACUGUUAUAAUGCUCACUUAAAGAGUGUGCUUUAAAAACAAGAAUUUCAUGUUUGCCCUGGGUUCCAUCGAGAAAAAUAUAGAGAUAUGCUUAAUUUCUAUUACAAAUGAUAUAACAUUACAUAUGUUAAUACAUCUUGAUAUCAGAAUUCUAAGAUUAGAAUUACUUAGUAGAAGAAGAGGGGAAUGAAGGACCCCAGCCUAAUAGCAGUAACAGAAAGACCCCAGCCUAGCAGUAGUAAUGCCAUUUUACAAGGCUAUAUUUAGGAAGACUGGUUCAGGGAAAGGUCAGAACACCGAGUACACAGCGGCUGCCAUGCAGGAUAUGUGUGGAGAGCCUAGCGACAGGAUGAUUGUGGUUGAGCGCCUGACAAUGAGAAAGAAAUGUAGAAAGCCCCGGGAGAGGUCCCACACCCUGGUGGGAGGCCGAGUCAGCCAUUAUGUUCCAAGAACACACUAUAGAGAACUUCCCCCCGGGCUGACCCCUGUAACCAUGCAUCUGCUUCUGUAUGCUUGCUUCUGCUUCCCAGAACCCUAUAAAAAGCCCAUCCUUGGUUCUGCUAGGUGUGUCAGUCUUCUGAAUUGACUGAGACGCCCACAGAUAUCUGUGUAUCUUGAUCAAUAAAAAUCCUCUUGC
Rattus norvegicus (Norway rat) is the source of this 16577-nucleotide non-coding RNA. Lineage: Eukaryota; Metazoa; Chordata; Mammalia; Rodentia; Muridae. The record is from RefSeq and is a predicted model, not a curated record.